Molecule: ribosomal RNA, 253 nt
Filed under: uncultured bacterium
Lineage: Bacteria
Description: partial 16S ribosomal RNA
Rfam family: Bacterial small subunit ribosomal RNA
Source: RNAcentral
UACGGAGGGUGCAAGCGUUGUCCGGAUUUAUUGGGUUUAAAGGGUGCGUAGGCGGCUUUUUAAGUCAGCGGUGAAAGACAACAGCUCAACUGUUGCAGUGCCAUUGAUACUGAAGAGCUUGAGUACAGAUGAGGUAGGCGGAAUUUAUGGUGUAGCGGUGAAAUGCAUAGAUACCAUAAAGAACACCUAUUGCGAAGGCAGCUUACUAAGCUGUAACUGACGCUGAGGCACGAAAGUGUGGGGAUCAAACAGG